CUGAAAGUGGCUGAAAAAUUAAUGGGAUGAAAUAGAUCUUAGAUCAUAAACCGAUGAUCUAGUGAUUUUUAUUUUGUUUUGUUUUAUUUUGUUUUUGUUUUUGGGUGGGACGAUCUUCUGAGAAGCCCUUGGUUAGCCAAGGUUCAUCUGUUGGCACUGCUGUGCGCCAUCCGAACGCAGUGCAUAUGAGCUGUCUAAUACACGUACGGUCGGUGCCGCAAACAUAUCCAUGGGUGACCUUACUUCUGCUCCUUCCGCCCUUUUUGGAAGUGCUUAAAUGGGUUGUGGGAAGCACAACGUUGAUUUCUGGGGCAAAAUUGCCUGUCCACAAUGGAAAGCCCUAAUGGGGAGACACUAAUCCAGGGGAAAACAUGGAAGAGAAAUUCGAAAAGAGUGAAAAAAGAAAAAAGAAAAACAAUAUGUCUCGAAGUUAUCUGAGAAACUGACACUGGUGAUUCGUAGAAAUCAUUACCCGGAAAUCGGGCUUCCCCAGCACGGCUGCUGCAGAAACUAGGAUUAACGAAUAGAGCGAAUCAACGUCUUAACCAGCAAGCCUGGGCAAUGGCUCAAGGGAUAUGUCCAUCAUGAUGCAGAAAUGUCUUCCUAGGCUGGAAAAUCGACUGGUGGUUCGGUCGAAAGACGUGAACGAGAAGACAAUGGGCCUAUGAUUUUUGUCCCGCAGCAACUCCAGGUGCAUAUGCAAGUAGCAUCGCCGGACGGGGUCAUCGGCAUGCGAGACUUUAAUGUCAGGGCGUGAAUGAACAUGAGCACUGAUGAUUAUUUUCUCCCACCUUGAUAUGUCAAGUUGUCAGCAUAUUGUUAGCGCGUG
Molecule: small RNA, 829 nt
Filed under: Histoplasma capsulatum
Lineage: Eukaryota; Fungi; Ascomycota; Eurotiomycetes; Onygenales; Ajellomycetaceae
Also listed under: 1 other name
Description: hypothetical RNA
Source: RNAcentral